This is a long non-coding RNA of Cyprinus carpio carpio, 550 nucleotides long. Lineage: Eukaryota; Metazoa; Chordata; Actinopteri; Cypriniformes; Cyprinidae. The record is from Ensembl.
CUUAGGUCUUUUUAUAGAGUUCAUAGCCUGAUUUAUCUCUUAGCUAAUCACUAUUAGCAUGUAGCUAUUCACUGCUAGCAUGACUAGCAUGUUGGAAUUCCAGUUUGCUAGCAUGAGUCAAAAGAGCCAACCGCCAUGUCUUUACGAUGUUCUGAUUCAGAGAUAUAGGUCAUGCAAAACGGUUGCUAGGGUACUCUGUUUGGUUGCUAGGGAGUGGCCUGACCGCUGCCAAUGAUGAUACUCCAAAGGCUGCUUGACAAUAUAAACCAACCCCCGUGUCAGUACGAUGUUCUGAUGCAGAGAUAUAGGUCUUGCAAAACGGUUGCUAGGGUACUCUGUUUGGUUGCUAGGGAGUGCCUUGGCAUCUGCCAAUGAUGCUACUCAAAGGCUGCUUGCCAAUAUAAACCAACCCCCAUGUCUGUACGAUUUUCGGUUGUAAAGAUAUAAUACUUACUAAAUGGUUGCUAGGGUACUCUGUUUGGUUGCUAGGGAGUGGCCUGACAGCUGCCAGUGAUGAUUCUCCAAAGGCUGCUUGCCAAUGUAAACCAAC